This 1556-nucleotide ribosomal RNA is filed under the name Salmonella enterica subsp. enterica serovar Oranienburg str. 0250. RNAcentral describes it as "bacterial SSU rRNA". It matches the Rfam family "Bacterial small subunit ribosomal RNA". Lineage: Bacteria; Pseudomonadati; Pseudomonadota; Gammaproteobacteria; Enterobacterales; Enterobacteriaceae. The record is from RNAcentral.
UUAAAUUGAAGAGUUUGAUCAUGGCUCAGAUUGAACGCUGGCGGCAGGCCUAACACAUGCAAGUCGAACGGUAACAGGAAGCAGCUUGCUGCUUCGCUGACGAGUGGCGGACGGGUGAGUAAUGUCUGGGAAACUGCCUGAUGGAGGGGGAUAACUACUGGAAACGGUGGCUAAUACCGCAUAACGUCGCAAGACCAAAGAGGGGGACCUUCGGGCCUCUUGCCAUCAGAUGUGCCCAGAUGGGAUUAGCUUGUUGGUGAGGUAACGGCUCACCAAGGCGACGAUCCCUAGCUGGUCUGAGAGGAUGACCAGCCACACUGGAACUGAGACACGGUCCAGACUCCUACGGGAGGCAGCAGUGGGGAAUAUUGCACAAUGGGCGCAAGCCUGAUGCAGCCAUGCCGCGUGUAUGAAGAAGGCCUUCGGGUUGUAAAGUACUUUCAGCGGGGAGGAAGGUGUUGCGGUUAAUAACCGCAGCAAUUGACGUUACCCGCAGAAGAAGCACCGGCUAACUCCGUGCCAGCAGCCGCGGUAAUACGGAGGGUGCAAGCGUUAAUCGGAAUUACUGGGCGUAAAGCGCACGCAGGCGGUCUGUCAAGUCGGAUGUGAAAUCCCCGGGCUCAACCUGGGAACUGCAUUCGAAACUGGCAGGCUUGAGUCUUGUAGAGGGGGGUAGAAUUCCAGGUGUAGCGGUGAAAUGCGUAGAGAUCUGGAGGAAUACCGGUGGCGAAGGCGGCCCCCUGGACAAAGACUGACGCUCAGGUGCGAAAGCGUGGGGAGCAAACAGGAUUAGAUACCCUGGUAGUCCACGCCGUAAACGAUGUCUACUUGGAGGUUGUGCCCUUGAGGCGUGGCUUCCGGAGCUAACGCGUUAAGUAGACCGCCUGGGGAGUACGGCCGCAAGGUUAAAACUCAAAUGAAUUGACGGGGGCCCGCACAAGCGGUGGAGCAUGUGGUUUAAUUCGAUGCAACGCGAAGAACCUUACCUGGUCUUGACAUCCACGGAACUUUCCAGAGAUGGAUUGGUGCCUUCGGGAACCGUGAGACAGGUGCUGCAUGGCUGUCGUCAGCUCGUGUUGUGAAAUGUUGGGUUAAGUCCCGCAACGAGCGCAACCCUUAUCCUUUGUUGCCAGCGAUUCGGUCGGGAACUCAAAGGAGACUGCCAGUGAUAAACUGGAGGAAGGUGGGGAUGACGUCAAGUCAUCAUGGCCCUUACGACCAGGGCUACACACGUGCUACAAUGGCGCAUACAAAGAGAAGCGACCUCGCGAGAGCAAGCGGACCUCAUAAAGUGCGUCGUAGUCCGGAUUGGAGUCUGCAACUCGACUCCAUGAAGUCGGAAUCGCUAGUAAUCGUGGAUCAGAAUGCCACGGUGAAUACGUUCCCGGGCCUUGUACACACCGCCCGUCACACCAUGGGAGUGGGUUGCAAAAGAAGUAGGUAGCUUAACCUUCGGGAGGGCGCUUACCACUUUGUGAUUCAUGACUGGGGUGAAGUCGUAACAAGGUAACCGUAGGGGAACCUGCGGUUGGAUCACCUCCUUACCUUAAAGAAGC